UACGAAGGGAGCUAGCGUUGUUCGGAAUCACUGGGCGUAAAGCGUGUGUAGGCGGCCAUGUAAGUCGGAUGUGAAAGCCCCGGGCUUAACCCGGGAAGUGCAUUCGAUACUGCGUGGCUUGAGUAUCGGAGAGGUUGGUGGAAUUCUCGGUGUAGAGGUGAAAUUCGUAGAUAUCGAGAGGAACACCGGUGGCGAAGGCGGCCAACUGGACGAAUACUGACGCUGAGACACGAAAGCGUGGGGAGCAAACAGG
This 253-nucleotide ribosomal RNA is filed under the name uncultured bacterium. RNAcentral describes it as "partial 16S ribosomal RNA". It matches the Rfam family "Bacterial small subunit ribosomal RNA", at positions 524 to 776 of the family's 1533-position model. The record is from RNAcentral.